UACGUAGGGGCCAAGCGUUGUCCGGAUUUAUUGGGCGUAAAGAGCGUGUAGGCGGCCAGACAGGUCAGCUGUGAAAACUCGAGGCUCAACCUCGAGACGUCGGUUGAAACCGUCUGGCUAGAGUCCGGAAGAGGAGAGUGGAAUUCCCGGUGUAGCGGUGAAAUGCGCAGAUAUCGGGAAGAACACCCGUGGCGAAGGCGGCUCUCUGGGACGGUACUGACGCUGAGACGCGAAAGCGUGGGGAGCGAACAGG
RNAcentral lists this ribosomal RNA (253 nucleotides) under uncultured bacterium. RNAcentral describes it as "partial 16S ribosomal RNA". It matches the Rfam family "Bacterial small subunit ribosomal RNA", at positions 524 to 776 of the family's 1533-position model. The record is from RNAcentral.